AACCUUCCCAUAACUCAGGGAUAGCCUUUCGAAAGAAAGAUUAAUACCUGAUAGUACUUUUUCAAGGCAUCUUGAAAAGUUAAAGAUUUAUUGGUUAUGGAUGGGGAUGCGUUCCAUUAGAUAGUUGGUGAGGUAACGGCUCACCAAAGUCUUCGAUGGAUAGGGGUUCUGAGAGGAAGGUCCCCCACAUUGGUACUGAGACACGGACCAAACUCCUACGGGAGGCAGCAGUGAGGAAUAUUGGUCAAGUGGGCGAGAGCCGUGAACCAGCCAAGUAGCGUAGAAGGAUAGAAGGUCCUAUGGAUUGUAAACUUUCUUUUAUAGUAGAAUAAAGUGAUCCACGUGUGGAUUUUUGUAUGUAUACUAUGAAUAAGGAUCGGCUAACUCCGUGCCAGCAGCAGC
RNAcentral lists this ribosomal RNA (402 nucleotides) under uncultured bacterium. Its description in RNAcentral is "bacterial SSU rRNA". It matches the Rfam family "Bacterial small subunit ribosomal RNA", at positions 123 to 518 of the family's 1533-position model. The record is from RNAcentral.